This 510-nucleotide ribosomal RNA is filed under the name Kocuria rhizophila. RNAcentral describes it as "bacterial SSU rRNA". It matches the Rfam family "Bacterial small subunit ribosomal RNA", at positions 1 to 518 of the family's 1533-position model. The record is from RNAcentral. Lineage: Bacteria; Bacillati; Actinomycetota; Actinomycetes; Micrococcales; Micrococcaceae.
UUGACGGAGAGUUUGAUCCUGGCUCAGGACGAACGCUGGCGGCGUGCUUAACACAUGCAAGUCGAACGCUGAAGCUUGGUGCUUGCACUGGGUGGAUGAGUGGCGAACGGGUGAGUAAUACGUGAGUAACCUGCCCUUGACUCUGGGAUAAGCCUGGGAAACUGGGUCUAAUACUGGAUACGACAUGUCACCGCAUGGUGGUGUGUGGAAAGGGUUUUACUGGUUUUGGAUGGGCUCACGGCCUAUCAGCUUGUUGGUGGGGUAAUGGCUCACCAAGGCGACGACGGGUAGCCGGCCUGAGAGGGUGACCGGCCACACUGGGACUGAGACACGGCCCAGACUCCUACGGGAGGCAGCAGUGGGGAAUAUUGCACAAUGGGCGGAAGCCUGAUGCAGCGACGCCGCGUGAGGGAUGACGGCCUUCGGGUUGUAAACCUCUUUCAGCACGGAAGAAGCGAAAGUGACGGUACGUGCAGAAGAAGCGCCGGCUAACUACGUGCCAGCAGCCGC